RNAcentral lists this ribosomal RNA (381 nucleotides) under uncultured bacterium. Its description in RNAcentral is "bacterial SSU rRNA". It matches the Rfam family "Archaeal small subunit ribosomal RNA", at positions 473 to 853 of the family's 1478-position model. RNAcentral also lists the same sequence under 1 other name. The record is from RNAcentral.
AUACCGGCAGCACGAGUGAUGGCCGAUCUUAUUGGGCCUAAAGCGUCCGUAGCCGGCCAGACAAGUCCGUUGGGAAAUCGACGCGCUCAACGCGUCGGCGUCCAGCGGAAACUGUCUGGCUUGGGGCCGGAAGACUCGAGGGGUACGUCCGGGGUAGGAGUGAAAUCCCGUAAUCCUGGACGGACCGCCGGUGGCGAAAGCGCCUCGAGAGGACGGACCCGACGGUGAGGGACGAAAGCCAGGGUCUCGAACCGGAUUAGAUACCCGGGUAGUCCUGGCCGUAAACGAUGCUCGCUAGGUGUGGCGCAGGCUACGAGCCUGCGCUGUGCCGUAGGGAAGCCGUGAAGCGAGCCGCCUGGGAAGUACGUCUGCAAGGAUGAA